RNAcentral lists this long non-coding RNA (742 nucleotides) under Salmo salar (Atlantic salmon). Its description in RNAcentral is "lncRNA (ENSSSAG00000109740.1)". Lineage: Eukaryota; Metazoa; Chordata; Actinopteri; Salmoniformes; Salmonidae. The record is from RNAcentral.
UUUUGUAAUAAAAGUCUAAUUGAAUUUACAAACUCCGGUAUCUGAGAAGUAUUUCAUUAAACAUUUUCCACAACACUAGCAGGCAGCUCACUCUGUCUCUUCUGUGCCAAGGCUAAUUAUUUGCUGCAGUUUAUCCUCCGAUCACCAGAGUAACUUAACAACACCAAAAAUAACAUUCCAAUGUCAUCCAACUCAGGUGUAGGCCUAUCUUAUUAAAAUAACAGUGCUACGGGCUCCGUUAUAGCAACUCCAUCAGGUCCGAAUGAGUAAAAAGGACCUCAGCGACUGCCCGCCCUCCCAGACCUCUGCAGAGGAGGAGGAGAAAAGAGGGGGAAAAUUAUGGGGAGCCCAAGGUUUAUCAGGUGUGGAGAUCGGGCUACAGGCUACCACUUCAAUGCCAUGACGUGAACGCUGCAAGGGCUUCUUCAGGACCUGAGCCCAAGGACCAUGCCUCAGGACUACCUGGCUUGAUGACUCCUUGCUGUCCCCAGUCCACCUGGCCGUGCUGCUGCUCCAGUUCCAACUGUUCUGCCUGCGGCUAUGGAACCCUGACCUGUUCACCGGACGUGCUACCUGUCCCAGACCUGCUGUCCCAGACCUGCUGGAAACCUGACCUGUUCACCGGAUGUGCUACCUGUCCCAGACCUGCUGUUUUCAACUCUCUAGAGACAGCAGGAGCGGUAGAGAUACUCUCAAAGAUCGGCUAUGAAAAAGCCAACUGACACUUACUCUUGUGUUACUG